Molecule: ribosomal RNA, 432 nt
Filed under: uncultured bacterium
Lineage: Bacteria
Description: partial 16S ribosomal RNA
Rfam family: Bacterial small subunit ribosomal RNA
Source: RNAcentral
AACGAACGCUGGCGGCAUGCCUAACACAUGCAAGUCGAACGAGACCUUCGGGUCUAGUGGCGCACGGGUGCGUAACGCGUGGGAACCUGCCCUUAGGUUCGGAAUAACUCCCCGAAAGGGGUGCUAAUACCGGAUAAUGUCUUCGGACCAAAGAUUUAUCGCCUUUGGAUGGGCCCGCGUUGGAUUAGCUAGUUGGUAGGGUAAAAGCCUACCAAGGCGACGAUCCAUAGCUGGUCUGUGAGGAUGAUCAGCCACACUGGGACUGAGACACGGCCCAGACUCCUACGGGAGGCAGCAGUGGGGAAUAUUGGACAAUGGGCGAAAGCCUGAUCCAGCAAUGCCGCGUGAGUGAUGAAGGCCUUAGGGUUGUAAAGCUCUUUUACCCGGGAUGAUAAUGACAGUACCGGGAGAAUAAGCUCCGGCUAACUCCGU